GUGUGCCUACGGGGGGCAGCAGUAGGGAAUUUUCGUCAAUGGGGGAAACCCUGAACGAGCAAUGCCGCGUGAGUGAAGAAGGCCUUCGGGUCGUAAAGCUCUGUUGUAAGAGAAAAACGGUAAUGAUAGGAAAUGAUCAUUAAGUGAUGGUAUCUUACGAGGAAGCCACGGCUAACUACGUGCCAGCAGCCGCGGUAAUACGUAGGGCGCGAGCGUUAAUCGGAAUUACUGGGCGUAAAGCGCGCGUAGGCUGUUGUGUAAGUUGGGGGUGAAAUCCCACGGCUCAACCGUGGAACAGCCCUUGG
Molecule: ribosomal RNA, 305 nt
Filed under: uncultured bacterium
Lineage: Bacteria
Description: bacterial SSU rRNA
Rfam family: Bacterial small subunit ribosomal RNA
Source: RNAcentral